RNAcentral lists this ribosomal RNA (534 nucleotides) under Burkholderia sp. Z4S-239. Its description in RNAcentral is "bacterial SSU rRNA". It matches the Rfam family "Bacterial small subunit ribosomal RNA", at positions 59 to 586 of the family's 1533-position model. Lineage: Bacteria; Pseudomonadati; Pseudomonadota; Betaproteobacteria; Burkholderiales; Burkholderiaceae. The record is from RNAcentral.
AAGUCGAACGGUAACAGGGAGCUUGCUCCGCUGACGAGUGGCGAACGGGUGAGUAAUACAUCGGAACGUGUCCUGUAGUGGGGGAUAGCCCGGCGAAAGCCGGAUUAAUACCGCAUACGAUCUACGGAUGAAAGCGGGGGAUUCUUCGGAACCUCGUGCUAUAGGGGCGGCCGAUGGCAGAUUAGCUAGUUGGUGGGGUAAAGGCCUACCAAGGCGACGAUCUGUAGCUGGUCUGAGAGGACGACCAGCCACACUGGGACUGAGACACGGCCCAGACUCCUACGGGAGGCAGCAGUGGGGAAUUUUGGACAAUGGGCGAAAGCCUGAUCCAGCAAUGCCGCGUGUGUGAAGAAGGCCUUCGGGUUGUAAAGCACUUUUGUUCGGGAAGAAAAGGUUUGGGCUAAUAUCCUGAACUGAUGACGGUACCGGAAGAAUAAGCACCGGCUAACUACGUGCCAGCAGCCGCGGUAAUACGUAGGGUGCAAGCGUUAAUCGGAAUUACUGGGCGUAAAGCGUGCGCAGGCGGUUUGUUAA